CAUCAAGAAGCUUCCAAUAGCACUAGCCUUUUAAGCUAGAGACGGAGCUAACCACUCCCUUGAUGACA
Molecule: transfer RNA, 68 nt
Filed under: Chalarodon madagascariensis (Madagascar iguana)
Lineage: Eukaryota; Metazoa; Chordata; Lepidosauria; Squamata
Description: tRNA-Lys
Source: RNAcentral